GGUAACCCGAUGGUCUAAUCCAAGUAUAUGGGCCCUUGCGGGCUAGAAUUGAUUAGUAGACCUCCAUCAGGUCUAGACCAUAAAUUUGAUAAUGAUUUCGAAUUGAUAAGAUAAGUGAAAAGACUGAAAAUUUGUCUGACCGGUAUCAUUGAGACGUUACCGAUUAUGACUGCUAAUGAUUGUUGGUGAACCUGUGAAUGGUGUUAGCGUUCCCUCUAAGGAGAGUUGAAUUGCGAUUAAUUGUAGGGGCCACAGUGGUGAAGUACGACUGUGGUCAUUAGUCUUCGACUAUGAUUGUAGAGGCUAUAGUGGUAAAUUAUGGCCGUAGUCAUUACUUUUCAACUGUUACACUGUAUAUCGAAUUGAACUGUUUCCCAUUCAAAGAGGUAAUCAGGGAUCCAUUUUGCCCUCUACCUAUAUAAGUUAAAAUGGCUUCGCGCGAAGAAAUGUAGAAGCCGUAAAUGAAUAAAACUGUUUGAUUAUCUAGCUAGGAUUGUUGAUUGAUUUCUCAUGCUUAGAUAGUUUCCUUGAAUUGAAUAUGUUU
Molecule: long non-coding RNA, 544 nt
Filed under: Carica papaya (papaya)
Lineage: Eukaryota; Viridiplantae; Streptophyta; Magnoliopsida; Brassicales; Caricaceae
Description: long non-coding RNA (CPAP_LNC010187)
Source: RNAcentral